CCUAAACCCUAAACCCUAAACCCUAAACCCUAAACCCUAAACCCUAAACCCUAAACCCUAAACCCUAAACCCUAAACCCUAAACCCUAAACCCUAAACCCUAAACCCUAAACCCUAAACCCUAAACCCUAAACCCUAACCCUAAACCCUAAACCCUAAACCCUAAACCCUAAACCCUAAACCCUAAACCCUAAACCCUAAACCCUAAACCCUAAACCCUAAACCCUAAACCCUAAACCCUAAACCCUAAACCCUAAACCCUAAACCCUAAACCCCUAAACCCUAAACCCUAAACCCUAAACCCUGGUGUCGCACUUCGCCGCGAGCGCUCUGUUCUCCGCCGCGAGCGCGCUGUUCUCCGCCGCGAGCGCGUCGAUCCGCCCGACGACGGCGUCGUCCGACGAUCGGACGCCGUCUCCGCCUCCCGCGGUCGCGCCAUCGCGCGCGCUCCUUCCCCGCCUCGGAGGCGCCACCUCGUUCGUCGCGAGGACGCGCGCGCGACGCAAAAGAACCCGCGGACGACGACGACGACGACGACGACGACGCGACGGGCGGCGCGGUGCGCGACGGACAGAACGCGAUCGAGAUUUCGGGCGCAGCUUCUGUUCUGUUUUUUCCUGUCCUGCAGACCUGUCCUGCAGUUUCAGAACGAAAUUUAAUCGGCGCCGACGCGCAGAAGCCGCGGCGCCGCUCCCACCACACGCACAAGGGAACUCGAUCGCACGCG
This 726-nucleotide long non-coding RNA is filed under the name Micromonas pusilla. Its description in RNAcentral is "long non-coding RNA (MPUS_LNC000162)". Lineage: Eukaryota; Viridiplantae; Chlorophyta; Mamiellophyceae; Mamiellales; Mamiellaceae. The record is from RNAcentral.